This 1380-nucleotide ribosomal RNA is filed under the name Capsicum annuum. RNAcentral's name for it is "SSU rRNA". The stretch from base 2 to 932 matches the Rfam family "Eukaryotic small subunit ribosomal RNA", at positions 4 to 1116 of the family's 1831-position model. Lineage: Eukaryota; Viridiplantae; Streptophyta; Magnoliopsida; Solanales; Solanaceae. The record is from RNAcentral.
CCUGGUUGAUCCUGCCAGUAGUCAUAUGCUUGUCUCAAAGAUUAAGCCAUGCAUGUGUAAGUAUGAACAAAUUCAGACUGUGAAACUGCGAAUGGCUCAUUAAAUCAGUUAUAGUUUGUUUGAUGGUAUCUACUACUCGGAUAACCGUAGUAAUUCUAGAGCUAAUACGUGCAACAAACCCCGACUUCUGGAAGGGAUGCAUUUAUUAGAUAAAAGGUCGACGCGGGCUCUGCCCGUUGCUGCGAUGAUUCAUGAUAACUCGACGGAUCGCACGGCCAUCGUGCCGGCGACGCAUCAUUCAAAUUUCUGCCCUAUCAACUUUCGAUGGUAGGAUAGUGGCCUACCAUGGUGGUGACGGGUGACGGAGAAUUAGGGUUCGAUUCCGGAGAGGGAGCCUGAGAAACGGCUACCACAUCCAAGGAAGGCAGCAGGCGCGCCAAUUACCCAAUCCUGACACGGGGAGGUAGUGACAAUAAAUAACAAUACCGGGCUCAAUGAGUCUGGUAAUUGGAAUGAGUACAAUCUAAAUCCCUUAACGAGGAUCAAUUGGAGGGCAAGUCUGGUGCCAGCAGCCGCGGUAAUUCCAGCUCCAAUAGCGUAUAUUUAAGUUGUUGUAGUUAAAAAGCUCGUAGUUGGACUUUGGGAUGGGCCGGCCGGUCCGCCUAUGGUGUGCACCGGUCGUCUCGUCCCUUCUGUCGGCGAUGCGCUCCUGGCGUUAACUGGCCGGGUUGUGCCUCCGGCGCUGUUACUUUCAAGGAAUUAGAGUGCUCAAAGCAAGCCUACGCUCGGGCAGACCUGUGCAUUUCAUGCCAAAAAAACUCAAUGCUUUAGCCUAGGUUCGAUCCCAUGUCAUUGGGGUAAAAGAUAAGUUUAAUUGAUCUUCAAGGCCAACAUGACACAUUGGAAUCUUUUAAUCAAGCUACUCACUUCUUCUUACUUAUAUUGUUAGCAAAUGUCAGCAACCUCAUUUUCAAAAAUUGAAUGUCAAAUGUUGAAAUUAACAUCCUAAUCGGCCUUAUCACAUGAUUUUGAUCUUCAAAUACAUUGUUUUUUAUUCGAUUUUUGCAAAAGUAGAAUGGAAUUUGUGUACCGAAUUGGGGGAAAGUUUCAAUUGAAUGGGAUAAAAGCGGUUUUUAAUGAAAUUGGCUUGACCAAACCGCCUUGCGGCAGUUUGUUCUUAUAGAUCUCGAAAAAAUACGUGAGAUAAAAAAAAAAUGCAUAAAUCGGACAUCCAAGCACAAAGUUAUGACCAUUUAAAGUUUUACAAAUAUACAACUACUUUUUUUUUUCCUUUACCUCCUAAUUACUUGGGUCAAUUUUUAUUUAUGUGGAAAAGGCAAAAAAGCUUACAUGAUACCUCCACUAACAUAAUGCUUAACC